Non-coding RNA from Mus caroli (Ryukyu mouse), 542 nucleotides. NCBI's taxonomy places the organism in Eukaryota, Metazoa, Chordata, Mammalia, Rodentia, Muridae. The record is from RefSeq and is a predicted model, not a curated record.
CUUAUUCAGGCUCUCUGAAUUGAUCUGGAACUAGGUGCCCUUGGUGGAGGAAAUUGACCUAAGGGGCAAGGUGAAGGGACUGGACAUUCCUGGAGGAUUAAGAGAGGCUCCUGGUAAACAGACUUUGAAAGGACUCUGGCCAGCCUGAGCAUGAUAGAUGCUGUUUGAUGGAGAUUGGAACUUCGGAAGCACAUGGCAUUUGUCAAUCUUACAUUGUUUUAGGACAGGUACAAUGAGUACUGCUCAUGUCCUUCUUUAGCCUCUGGAGUUCCUAGACUCCAGAGAAAAUUACCUCAGAGAACACUUCUUGAAAACUGCAAUAGGAGAUCGGUGGGAGUUUAAGGCUGCCAGGAAGCUGUUUACUACAUUGUGACUGUCCGGAAUAGUCAAGUCAGCGGGACAGAAGCCCUGAGUCGACAUAUUUCUUACUAUGGAUGGUGUAAGUGAUAUAGUAUAUCUUAUCAGAUCUCCUCUCAUGUUGUAAUAUAGUCAUUUCAUAUUUAAAGGUAUUGUCCUGCAGGAGCCUAGUAUGGCUAUUCCCU